AACUGAUACUACCUGCGGGAACCUGCGGAAGGAUCAUUACCGAGUUAUCAACUCCCAAACCCCUGUGAACAUACCUGAACGUUGCCUCGGCGGGACCGCCCCGGCGCCCUAGCGGCCCGGAACCAGGCGCCCGCCGGAGGACCCAAACUCUUGCUUUGAACAGUGGCAUACUCUCUGAGUCUCACAAACAAAAAUAAAUUAAAACUUUCAGCAACGGAUCUCUAGAUCGGAAGAGCACAC
Molecule: unclassified non-coding RNA, 240 nt
Filed under: soil metagenome
Description: partial contains 5.8S ribosomal RNA, internal transcribed spacer 2, and large subunit ribosomal RNA
Source: RNAcentral